This 571-nucleotide ribosomal RNA is filed under the name Kurtzmaniella natalensis. RNAcentral's name for it is "eukaryotic LSU rRNA". It matches the Rfam family "Eukaryotic large subunit ribosomal RNA", at positions 62 to 654 of the family's 3401-position model. The record is from RNAcentral. Lineage: Eukaryota; Fungi; Ascomycota; Pichiomycetes; Serinales; Debaryomycetaceae.
AAACCAACCAGGGAUUGCCUUAGUACGGCGAGUGAAGCGGCAAAAGCUCAAAUUUGAAAUCUGGCACUUUCAGUGUCCGAGUUGUAAUUUGAAGAAGGUAACUCUGGAGUUGGCCCUUGUCUAUGUUCCUUGGAACAGGACGUCACAGAGGGUGAGAAUCCCGUGCGAUGGGGUGUCCAAUUCUAUGUAGAGUGCUUUCGAAGAGUCGAGUUGUUUGGGAAUGCAGCUCUAAGUGGGUGGUAAAUUCCAUCUAAAGCUAAAUAUUGGCGAGAGACCGAUAGCGAACAAGUACAGUGAUGGAAAGAUGAAAAGAACUUUGAAAAGAGAGUGAAAAAGUACGUGAAAUUGUUGAAAGGGAAGGGCUUGAGAUCAGACUCGGUAUUUUGCGAUCCUAUCCUUCGUGGAGAGGUUUCAUUUGCAGCUUACCGGGCCAGCAUCGGUUUGGAUGGUAGGAUAAUGACAUUGGAAUGUGGCUCUUCGGAGUGUUAUAGCCCUUGUUGAUACUGCCUAUCUAGACCGAGGACUGCGUCUUUGACUAGGAUGCUGGCAUAAUGAUCUUAAGCGCCCGUCU